This 490-nucleotide ribosomal RNA is filed under the name uncultured bacterium. RNAcentral describes it as "partial 16S ribosomal RNA". It matches the Rfam family "Bacterial small subunit ribosomal RNA", at positions 30 to 507 of the family's 1533-position model. The record is from RNAcentral.
AUUGAACGCUGGCGGCAGGCCUAACACAUGCAAGUCGAACGGUAACAGGAAACAGCUUGCUGUUUCGCUGACGAGUGGCGGACGGGUGAGUAAUGUCUGGGAAACUGCCUGAUGGAGGGGGAUAACUACUGGAAACGGUAGCUAAUACCGCAUAACGUCGCAAGACCAAAGAGGGGGACCCUCGGGCCUCUUGCCAUCGGAUGUGCCCAGAUGGGAUUAGCUUGUUGGUGGGGUAACGGCUCACCAAGGCGACGAUCCCUAGCUGGUCUGAGAGGAUGACCAGCCACACUGGAACUGAGACACGGUCCAGACUCCUACGGGAGGCAGCAGUGGGGAAUAUUGCACAAUGGGCGCAAGCCUGAUGCAGCCAUGCCGCGUGUAUGAAGAAGGCCUUCGGGUUGUAAAGUACUUUCAGCGGGGAGGAAGGGAGUAAAGUUAAAACCUUUGCUCAUUGACGUUACCCGCAGGAGAAGCACCGGCUAACUCCGUG